This 460-nucleotide ribosomal RNA is filed under the name uncultured bacterium. RNAcentral describes it as "partial 16S ribosomal RNA". It matches the Rfam family "Bacterial small subunit ribosomal RNA", at positions 338 to 795 of the family's 1533-position model. The record is from RNAcentral.
CCUACGGGCGGCAGCAGUGAGGAAUAUUGGUCAAUGGGCGAGAGCCUGAACCAGCCAAGUCGCGUGAAGGAUGACGGCCCUACGGGUUGUAAACUUCUUUUGUCAGGGAGCAAUUGGGUCCACGCGUGGGCUUAGCGAGAGUACCUGAAGAAAAAGCAUCGGCUAACUCCGUGCCAGCAGCCGCGGUAAUACGGAGGAUGCGAGCGUUAUCCGGAUUUAUUGGGUUUAAAGGGUGCGCAGGCGGAAGAUCAAGUCAGCGGUAAAAUUGAGAGGCUCAACCUCUUCGAGCCGUUGAAACUGGUGUUCUUGAGUGAGUGAGAAGUAUGCGGAAUGCGUGGUGUAGCGGUGAAAUGCAUAGAUAUCACGUAGAACUCCGAUUGCGAAGGCAGCAUACCGGCGCUCAACUGACGCUCAUGCACGAAAGUGUGGGUAUCGAACAGGAUUAGAUACCCGGGUAGUC